RNAcentral lists this long non-coding RNA (2028 nucleotides) under Capsicum annuum. RNAcentral describes it as "long non-coding RNA (CANN_LNC004165)". Lineage: Eukaryota; Viridiplantae; Streptophyta; Magnoliopsida; Solanales; Solanaceae. The record is from RNAcentral.
GAGUCACCAUUCACAAUGAAUUUUGGUUCAGCAUCUGGUUAGUACACUAACAUAUAUUAUAUGGUUAACAACUUUAUUUACUUUAUAUUAUUAUGACAUCUAAUAGCUAAGAAGUAUGACAUGUAAUCUGUAAAUAUUUCUUCUUAUUAUAUAAUGGCUAAGAAGUAUGACAUGUAAUCUGUAAAUAUGCACCAAUACAUUAGUGACACUUUUUUUAUAUGAUAAAAUUUAGAUUUGUAUUUGUUUUGAUUACUACUAAGAUUUGUUAUUGAUGUUAUGUUAUUUUUGUUAUUCAUUAGAUAUUGAUUAUGACAAGUAUGUUAUUUGGAAUAAUUCUGAACAAUUAAAAUACAUAAUUUUUUUGUUAGCUUGAAAUCAUUUUUAUAUUUUGUUGUUUGAUAACUUCAAUAUGUAUCAGUGAUGUAUUCACAAUAUACACAUGAUACAAUUAUGUAUACAUUUUUGUAUGGUAAUUUUCAGAUGUAUUUUAUAAAUACAUCUAUUUUAUUAUUAUGAAAUAUCAUUGCCUUUUUAAUUUAUUUUUGGUAUUUUUUUUUUUUUAUACUUUUCACAACUUAACAAUAAAUGAGGCACAAAAGAGGAGCGCAAAAUAUUCAAUCAAAAGCAUCCAUUCGUAUCUCAUUCGAUUAAUGAUAUAGAAGACACUAAGGUUACCAACAAGUUCCCGAAGUGUCUUUCUAUGUACCUUCUUAAAUUUCAUGCGAAGAGGUAUAUACGUUAGGACCUAAUUGUAAUAAUAUUUAAAUAUAAGUUUUUGUUAAUGAUGAGUCACUAUAUUUAAUGAUUGAACAGAAGCAACAAUGAAGAACACUAUAAGAAGGGCAAGUCCAAAAUACCAGUAAUCAAUUUUGGAGUUUUAUUUGUGAAAAACAAGAAUUGGUUCUACAUUAUGGGCACUCCGGGACAAUGAUGGUUUGAUGAGGUAAGUUUUGUACUAUUAAGUGAAAUUUUUUUAUAUUUGGAACGAAACUUAUUUCAACGUUACAUACGUAUAUUCGUAUAUACAUAUGUAAAUGCUUGUUAUGAUGUAGUUGCAUAUGUAUAUUUUUAUAUACAUAUACUGUUAUUCUAUAUGUUUUUAUAUAUGUAUAUGGUAUUACAUAUGUAGUGUUACCUGCAAUGAGUUUUAAUUUUAUUAUUUAAUUUUAAAUAUGAAUUUUAUUGUAAUGCAGCAAAUUGAUGUAUGCUUCUACUAUCUGCGAAAGAAACCUAAGUAUGAUCCAAAUAGUUCAUACAAGUACUACACUGUUGACUGCAAUUUCAUGAACAUUAUAAACAGUGUGCUAGAUGUGUAUAGAAUUGAUGAUGCAUCUCUUAAUGCUCGUGGAAAGGAAUACCAUCUGAAUGAGUACAUAAAUGAAUUCCGCAUGCAUGCUACAGUGUCUUGGCAUACGGUUGAUCAUAUUUUCAUUUCUGUCAACGUGAAGUCCAAACAUAAUUGGGUUCUUGCGGUUAUAUCUUUCAAUGAUAGAUGCAUUUAUGUAUAUGAUUCUUUGUCGUCUGCUGGUCAUGAUGCUUGCUGAAGUUGAAAAGUUAUCUGAGGUUAUACCUAUAUGUCUCGUUGUAUGUAAAUUUUAUGAGAAGAAGGGUAUUGAUAUUGCUAAUCAUCCAAAUUACAAAUCCUAUGAUAAGAUGGAUCUAUUUGAUGUUUAUAUUGUGGAGGAUUCGCCUCAACAACCAAGUGGCAGCUUGUAAGUAAUGAAUAUGUAUAUUAAUUGUAUAUAUACAUAUAUAUUAUUUUUAUAGAACAGAUUCUUACUUCUUUAAAUAUGUAUUUGUAGGAAUUGUGGUUUAUAUAUGGUGACAUAUGCCGAAUGUCUUAUUUUUGGUAAUCUUGUUCCACGCAUUGAUUUUGAUCCAGAUCUGAUUCGUACGAGAUAUGCUUCAAUUUUGUGGGAUUAUGUAUGAAGAAAGAAAAAGAGAAGGCAUAAAGUGAUGAUGAAACACCAAUGAGAACUCCUCGUGAAUUUGGUAUAAUAGAAGAUACUGAAGUGCAUGAAAUUUGAU